GGUUGGACGUCUAUCAUCCCACAUAUUUGAGUUGAAAGGAGUCUCUUCUACAACAAGGAACGAGAAAAAAAAGCUGCAGUUCAAGGGUUGAGGUUGCAGUCACAGUUAACUAUUGAUCAAAAUUCAAAGAGGUUAAGAUUCUACUUGGAGAAGAAGGAUCUACUACAAGAAGAAGGAUUCAAGAUUGAUCCCGAUGGAUACC
RNAcentral lists this long non-coding RNA (202 nucleotides) under Elaeis guineensis (African oil palm). RNAcentral describes it as "long non-coding RNA (EGUI_LNC031846)". The record is from RNAcentral. Lineage: Eukaryota; Viridiplantae; Streptophyta; Magnoliopsida; Arecales; Arecaceae.